RNAcentral lists this ribosomal RNA (770 nucleotides) under uncultured Neocallimastigales. RNAcentral describes it as "partial large subunit ribosomal RNA". It matches the Rfam family "Eukaryotic large subunit ribosomal RNA", at positions 26 to 645 of the family's 3401-position model. Lineage: Eukaryota; Fungi; Neocallimastigomycota; Neocallimastigomycetes; Neocallimastigales. The record is from RNAcentral.
CGCAUCUGUGCAUGCAGCAUAUCAAUAAGCGGAGGAAAAGAAACUAACAAGGAUUCCCUCAGUAACGGCGAGUGAAGCGGGAAGAGCUCAAAUUUGAAAUCUUGAAAGGUCACCUUUCACGAAUUGUAGUUUAAAGAAGUGUUUUCUGUUACGAUCGUAAUAUAAGUUCUUUGGAAUAGGACAUCACAGAGGGUGAGAAUCCCGUCUAUGAUUGCGAUUUGUAGCUUUGUGAUACACUUUCAAAGAGUCGGGUUGUUUGGGAAUGCAGCCCAAAACGGGAGGUAAAUUUCUUCUAAGGCUAAAUAUUGGCGAGAGACCGAUAGCGAACAAGUACCGUGAGGGAAAGAUGAAAAGAACUUUGAAAAGAGAGUUAAAUAGUACGUGAAAUUGUCAAAAGGGAAGCGUUUAACACCAGUGUUGUUUUCUGAAAAUCAACCUCUGUUAGCUUUAUGCAUGUUUGUUUAGACCUAAUCAGCUAUCUUGCAUGUUCUAUUGUUUGCAGUGGUGCACUUUUCAGUUUACAGGUCAACAUCAGUUUUUUUACCGUAAAAAAGUUAAAGAAAGGUAGCUCAUGGCUCCGGUCGUGAGUGUUAUAGUCUUUUUCCUAUGCGGUAGGAGAGACUGAGGUCUGCAGUGUAGGCUAUUUGGCUAGAUACUCAGGUGCUAUGUGAUACCAUUUCAUAAACAACUUGUUGAUUAUGUUUUGUCUAUUGCAUACUCGCUUGUACUAUCAUACCUACGCUUAGGAUGUUGAAGUCAUCGUAUCGCGC